GAUGAAGAACGUAGCGAAAUGCGAUAAGUAAUGUGAAUUGCAGAAUUCAGUGAAUCAUCGAAUCUUUGAACGCACCUUGCGCCCCUUGGUUAUUCCAAAGGGCAUGCCUGUUUGAGUAUCAUGAACACCUCAACUCUUGUGGUUUCCCACAAUGAGCUUGGACUGUGGAGGUUUUGUUGGCCCUGUGGUCAGCUCCUCUCAAAUGGAUCAGCUUACCGGUGUUUGGUGGCAUUACGGGUGUGAUAACUAUCUACGCUCGUGGUCGUCUCCAAAUACCCUCCAGUGAUGGAGGUUCGCUGGAGCUUAUAAAUGUCUCUCCCCAGUGAAGACAGCCUUUGAACGUUCGAUCUCAAAUCAGGUAGGACUACCCGCUGAACUUAAGCAUAUCAUAAGCGGAGGA
RNAcentral lists this unclassified non-coding RNA (400 nucleotides) under soil metagenome. RNAcentral's name for it is "partial contains 5.8S ribosomal RNA, internal transcribed spacer 2, and large subunit ribosomal RNA". The stretch from base 1 to 121 matches the Rfam family "5.8S ribosomal RNA", at positions 35 to 154 of the family's 154-position model. The record is from RNAcentral.